CUGCCCUCCCUUCCCGCGCCGUCUCUCACAGAGUUCGCUUUAUUUUUUUUCCACGGUGUUUUCAUAACGUUAAAAUAACUUUCUUUAGCGUCCCCCGCCUUUUCGUGUAGACUUCGCAGCCCCAGCAAAAAAGCGUUUACCUUUUUAAGCAGUGUUUUCGAUUAUUUCUAAGUUACUGUUUUCAAAUUUUGAUAGGGAUUAUGUAGACUGGUCUCCAGCGUUUAGUUUUGACUUACAUUUUUUGUAGUAUGUAAAAAAUCGGAUCACUUAGCACCCUAUAUUUUAGCGUGGGGGGAAGAAAAAUAAGAAUUUUGGAGUGGAGGCAUCUGCAAAUACAUCUUGACUAAGCCUUUGAUUUUAUCUGUGAUUGGGUUUCACAACAUCCUGUCUGCUCCUUACAAAAUUGGGAAACCUUGGUUUUAAGCAAAUUGUUGAAUAUUUUGUGUUUUGUAAGGAAUUAGUUGUGUAUCAUUCAAACUUCCUUUGUGGUUGUUUCCCCCAGUUUUGUAGCCUUUGGCAUUUUGAGAAUGCUGCUAGAAGAUGGGUUAAUUUACUAACUACAAAGCUAUAAACAUAACACAUGACCCGAAAGUUUUGUAUGAAAUCUGUGGUGAACUCCUUUACGGCGUUAUAUCUUUGAGUCAUUCAAGCAUUUCUUAGAUUAAAAAUAGAGAUUGUAGACAACCAGACCAUAGAGGUCUGUGGCCAGUUUAUAUUUGGGGAAAUAGUGGUUAGCUCAAGCUGGAAGACGUACAUGUUAGAUCUCAGCCUCUGUUAUCAACAAGAGGCUGUGAAAGCAAGAGAUGUACAAAUUACUGAUGUUUGUAGAAAGAGCUGAUUCACAUCCUUCUCUUUUCCCAGCCCAGCAGUCAGUUUAAAUGGCUUGUUGCUGUAGAGCAUGAACCAGCUGAAAAUGUACACAUAAAUCUGCAGACGUCUCAGAAACUGGAGAGAUCAGCAGUUUCUUAGGCCACCCAGGAAGUGCUGAGCGUAGGAGCGGUCCACGUGAGGAACAGGCAAUACAAAGCACGUGUAAGAAACACGUUAGCUCACGGUUUAUGAAGUGGAGUUGAGAAUCUUGGAAGAUUGCCAAGAUCAAAAGAUUCCUUCAGUUGAAGUGAGCUGAAUUCAGCUUUAUCUGCAUAUUGCAGGAAAGCACUGCUGUCGUGUUCCAGCUGCCGAGAGCUCGUGGUUUCUCAGAGGGCAAUUCUCGUUUCACUUUUUCCGUUUAAUCUGGAGGAAUAGUUUUGUCACUGCUCUAACCCUCUGCAGGCAUUCAACUCUGCAAGCAAUGCUGUGCUCCGGCCAGAGACCUGAAAAAGUUGGUCAGCAUCACGCUACUGACAACAAAAAGUAGUCAGGUGUAAAAUGUGAUCUGAUACCCUUCGCAAACUUUCACAAGCAGUGUUAUAAUGAGUUUGUCAGUGUUAAUCAACCAUCUUAACCCGAAAAUAAUGAUAGCUUAGAAGUUUUCUCCACUUUAGAAACACGAAGGUCCCCCUUACCAGUGUGAAACAUCAUUUAUAUCAGGGAUUUGUAAAACUUAGGAAAAACUGAAGGUAUUUAAGAAAAAUUUGAGGUCUCGGGAGAGAUGAGAAGGUGUGACCACUCAGCCUGAGAACAGUUUUCAUCUGUCGUUGUGGAACUAGAGCAUUGAGUACUGCUACUCCAUUGUAGCAUAAGGGAGAAAAAGUGAAAAGUACAUAGAAAUAUCGUACAGUGAUACUCAAAGUGAGGCCAGUGAACAUCGUCUAGAUAAUUUUUUCGUUAAAAAGCUUUGGGAUAUUUGUGUUUCAUUCUGAUUUUCAAGUAGUAGAUGAAAAUACUGGCACAUUAAGAAUAAAAAACCCAACUCAAUGUUUGUUCCAUAUGAUACGUAGCAUGAAGGGUUUCUUUCCUUAUUUUGGCUCCAGAAAAUCAGGAAAAAGCAGAACAUUGCCAAGAUCAUUGCUGGUUUAUACUGACCUACAGACUUGCCCCAUGCUAGUUUAAAGUUAUCCUUGAUAAAUUAAUCAGCAUGCAUCUAAAAGGUCUUUGUCAUUCUCGGGGUGCUCCUGUCAUUCAACACCUUUCAGAACAUCAUCUUGAGGUUGAAGAAGCUAAGUUCUCCCAACAGCAUCUUCUGUCUAGUCCUACUUUUGGUUUUAGGAUGUGUUUAACCUGAUCUGGGCCUGAUUUUCAGAUGGAAGAUUUAAAGUUGAAUGCCUAAGCAAAAUACCAUGAUUUUGUAUUCUGUUAUUAAUCUGUUGAAGAGAAGAAUAGGGUUUUUUUCUAGAGGCAAAUACUAGAAGCUUCCAUUAGGGAACAUCUGUUUCCAGCCCGCAAUAUUAAGAGUACAAUUUUGGAAAUUGAGCCUAAUAUUUAUGGUGCUGCUUCAGUUUACUUCCUGCAGCAUUUGUUAUUUCUUAAGAUAAUUAAAAGUUUCUUUGAGGUCCAUAUUGUAAUUUUAAUGCGGGCAAGCAUUAAAGACCUCACAAGCUUUAAUAUCCACUCUAGAAAUACAUUUGCAACAGAUACUGAAGAAGCUAAAGAAGCCUUCUUCUAUCAAACAUGAAGUCCACUCAGGAUGGAAAGGUCAUGUCUUUUGUUAAGAGCACUGCAAGAUGGCUAAUGGCCACAAAUUCUUCAAGUUCUGUAACUUUUUUUUAAUCUGUUUUGUUUAAUCAAGGCCAGUUUCAGCAGAAGCCUAGCCCAGACCUCUGGUAUUGCGCAUUCCUUCUUGCUCGAGAUUUGCAUUUAGUGAAUGAACCUUUUUCUCAUCCUGCUUUACAUUUUGCUGUGGAAAUGCCAUUACGAGAGACAGGUGGACUUCCGCUCCUUAAAGAGAACUUAAAGAAAUCCUGCCAGAAACCUGUGGACAAAUACAUUGAGUAUGAUCCUGUUAUCAUCUUGAUUAAUGCUAUUUUAUGUAAAGCACAAGCAUACAGGCACAUUCUUUUCAAUACAAAGAUAAAUAUUCAUGGGAAGCUCUGUGUAUUUUGUUUGCUCUGUGAGGCUUAUCUCAGGUGGUUGCAACUACAGGAUUCAAGCCAAAAUACGGAUCCUGAUGACUUAAUCAGAUAUGCCAAGGAAUGGGAUUUUUAUAGAAUGUUUGGUAUAGCUUCUUUAGAACAAACUUCAUUUUUGCUUGGCAUUUUUAUUACGUUAUGGUGGAUGAGACCUGAGAUGCUGAAAACAAAGUCUGACUUCAUUUUACUUCUCAAAGCACUGCUGUUGUCCAGCUAUGGAAAGCUUUUGCUAAUUCCAGCUGUUAUUUGGGAACAUGACUACACGCCUUUGUGCCUUGCAUUUAUAAAAGUGUUUGUCUUGAUAUCAAACUCUCAGGCAAUUAGAGUUACAUUGAACUUGAACCGAAUGCUUCCUUGGUUGGCCAUCAUCUUUGGAUUAAUUUUGGAAAAUGGUGUGGUCUGCUUGUUCCAGAAAAUGGGAUGGGAUGUUUGAAAUGUCAGCCAAGAUCUGAAGAAAUACCAACAUGAUAAUUUUCUAAGAAUGAUCUCUGCCACCAAGCUCCGAAGAUGCUAUUUUCAUAGUGAUAAAGAAGGUGAUAGAUAACAAAAACUUGCAUUAGUGCAGGCAAAGAGAGGGCCCACAAAGGAACUGGCAGAAUUAAUUUCCACAGGAGAGUAAUGAGGACACGAACCUACUUCUUUUGUGCAGACCAGUUUCCAUGAUGUUCUAUGCAAUAUUUAAUUCUCCUGCUUCAGUUCUGGAAGGCUGUACUAUCUACAGGUACUACUUCCAUUCUUCAUCUUCCUCAGAUGCAGGCUCCUAUCUGUGUUUUGCAAAAUGCAUUGAAUAACGUUUUGCAACAUCUUCAAUUCCAAACAGUUUUAGAGUAAGCUUAGAUUAUGACUACAGAAAACAUCAGACAUGUUUGUCUAACGCAGCCGCCUAUGCCACAGUAAGUUUUUUCGGUCAGAAAACCAAAUGGUUGCUCAUUCUGUUUUAACAGGUCAGAGGCUGGCACCGCUCGUGCCAUUUGUGUUACAUUUGACAUCUUCCUGAGCAUGUGAUGGUAUAGGUAGAGAAGGCAAAAAAAACCCCAAAUUGCGACCUCUUUUAAGUACAUGAGACAGUUUAACGCUACAACUGCCCCAGCAAGGACGUAGUUGUGAAGGUGUAUGAGGGAUCCACCUUGCUACUGGUGGGAAUCAGCGGCCAGACAAUUGAGUGUAGGUGUGCAGUUGCUUGCUGGCUGAGCAGCACCUUUGGCAACACAGUACCUUGAACAUGCUUUACUUUACAGAAUUAGAUCUGGAGAGAUAGUCCACCCCCAAAAGCUUUUUUUAAAACCAGCAUGUUGCCAAAGGUGUUUUGAAUAGUGCUCAUCUUCCUCCCACAACGCCAGCACACAGUGUUGCAACAGAGGCUGCAGCUUGAGAGGGUGCAAAGGGGAAAGAGCAGUAGAUCUUUUAGGAAAGCUUCAGGGAUGCUGGUCUGGCCUCCUUUCAUUUUCCUCCUUCACCUUCUGCCUCGAGUUUAAGAGACAAUGAAGCCAUACUGCAGCAGAGAGCAUGACAGAAGAGCAUGUACUAGGAAAAUGCUGGUGCCUGCUGAGCCAAACCCUGUUUAUCAUUGUAGCUGUCAUCUGGCUUUUACCCAGCUCUCUGUUCAUCUUAGCAUGACCUUAGCAUUGCAGCUGAUAAAAGUUUGUCACCACUGUGUAUGUCCCUCUUCAGGAAAUGUACAUUCUUUCUACCAUCAGUUUUGUUUCUCUAAUGAUGUGACAACAGUGCUUUGGUUUGUUCCUCUUAGGUUACAUUUUUUUUUUUUUUUUAAAAAUUAAUCUUCUGUGUCAUGGUUACACACAAGAUUU
Egretta garzetta (little egret) is the source of this 4816-nucleotide RNA transcript. It is a transcript of the gene named ARV1 homolog, fatty acid homeostasis modulator, with no coding region annotated. NCBI's taxonomy places the organism in Eukaryota, Metazoa, Chordata, Aves, Pelecaniformes, Ardeidae. The record is from RefSeq and is a predicted model, not a curated record. The transcript is spliced from 7 exons.